RNAcentral lists this ribosomal RNA (460 nucleotides) under uncultured bacterium. RNAcentral's name for it is "partial 16S ribosomal RNA". It matches the Rfam family "Bacterial small subunit ribosomal RNA", at positions 338 to 795 of the family's 1533-position model. The record is from RNAcentral.
CCUACGGGCGGCUGCAGUGAGGAAUAUUGGUCAAUGGGCGUAAGCCUGAACCAGCCAAGUCGCGUGAGGGAUGAAGGUUCUAUGGAUCGUAAACCUCUUUUAUAAGGGAAUAAAGUGCGGGACGUGUCCCGUUUUGUCUGUACCUUAUGAAUAAGGAUCGGCUAACUCCGUGCCAGCAGCCGCGGUAAUACGGAGGAUCCGAGCGUUAUCCGGAUUUAUUGGGUUUAAAGGGUGCGUAGGCGGCCUUUUAAGUCAGCGGUGAAAGUCUGUGGCUCAACCAGAGAAUUGCCGUUGAAACUGGAAGCCUUGAGUAUAUUAGAGGCAGGCGGAAUGCGUGGUGUAGCGGUGAAAUGCUUAGAUAUCACGCAGAACCCCGAUUGCGAAGGCAGCCUGCCAAGCCAUGACUGACGCUGAUGCACGAAAGCGUGGGUAUCAAACAGGAUUAGAUACCCGUGUAGUC